GACGAACGCUGGCGGCGUGCUUAACACAUGCAAGUCGAACGGAAAGGCCCUGCUUUUGUGGGGUGCUCGAGUGGCGAACGGGUGAGUAACACGUGAGUAACCUGCCCUUGACUUUGGGAUAACUUCAGGAAACUGGGGCUAAUACCGGAUAGGAGCUCCUGCUGCAUGGUGGGGGUUGGAAAGUUUCGGCGGUUGGGGAUGGACUCGCGGCUUAUCAGCUUGUUGGUGGGGUAGUGGCUUACCAAGGCUUUGACGGGUAGCCGGCCUGAGAGGGUGACCGGCCACAUGGGGACUGAGAUACGGCCCAGACUCCUACGGGAGGCAGCAGGGGGGAAUAUUGCGCAAUGGGCGGGAGCCAGAGGCAGCAACGCCGCGUGCGGGAUGACGGCCUUCGGGUGGUGAACCGCUUUCGCCUGUGACGAAGCGUGAGUGACGGUAAUGGGUAAAGAAGCACCGGCUAACUACGUG
Molecule: ribosomal RNA, 468 nt
Filed under: uncultured bacterium
Lineage: Bacteria
Description: partial 16S ribosomal RNA
Rfam family: Bacterial small subunit ribosomal RNA
Source: RNAcentral